UACGUAGGGGGCAAGCGUUGUCCGGAAUCAUUGGGCGUAAAGAGCGUGUAGGCGGCCCGGUAAGUCCGCUGUAAAAGUCAAAGGCUCAACCUUUGAAUGUCAGUGGAUACUGCCGGGCUAGAGUCCGGAAGAGGCGAGUGGAACUCCUGGUGUAGCGGUGGAAUGCGCAGAUAUCAGGAAGAACACCAACGGCGAAGGCAGCUCGCUGGGACGGUACUGACGCUGAGACGCGAAAGCGUGGGGAGCAAACAGG
This 253-nucleotide ribosomal RNA is filed under the name uncultured bacterium. Its description in RNAcentral is "partial 16S ribosomal RNA". It matches the Rfam family "Bacterial small subunit ribosomal RNA", at positions 524 to 776 of the family's 1533-position model. The record is from RNAcentral.